Molecule: unclassified non-coding RNA, 506 nt
Filed under: Hevea brasiliensis (rubber tree)
Lineage: Eukaryota; Viridiplantae; Streptophyta; Magnoliopsida; Malpighiales; Euphorbiaceae
Source: RNAcentral
GCACAUUUGAGAGGGAGGCACAAAAGCAAUAAAAUUAGCUAGAAUAUUCAAACUAUCAUAAUACAUUCAUAAGACUGUUACUGUAGUCAAAACUCCUUUCAUAAUACAUUCAUAUUUAACAAGCCUGCGUUGCAUAUAGGAUCUCUUCUGGAAUUAUAACUUUUAGAAUUAAUAAAGAUCCAUAUUCUCUACCAAGGCAAAGGACAAAAAACAUAAAGACGAAAGUGUUAGAAUUCAUACUUGAGAGGGGAAAAAAAAGUUCUAAGCCUAUCUCAUUACAAGUGAAGUGAAACAAUAUUCCAGGUAUCCUAGAAUUCAAGGUAGGGCUAUACACAGGUUGGUUUGAGCGAGUUCACGGUAUUUUGCCAAACCAAACCGACAAAGUUGGUUUUGAUGGUACUCAAACCGAAACCAAAAAAUUAAAUUACAAGGAAAAGAAAUAAAGAACAAAUGGAAGAAUGGAAGGGGAAAACAACAAAAGGUAACAGAUAGGAAGAGUAGAGAAG